AUUUUUAUCUAUAUUUUUCAGACACGUUACGGACUUGUUUGAUUACGUAGUUUUCCCGGGUGUGGCAGGUCACGUGUCCUGCACCCAGUGAAGCUAAUUACCGUUGACCGUUUCUCCGAGAACGGACGAUUUGAAGCGGAGACAAACGGGAGGAUGUGUCACCACGAAAACAACAUCCGUUAUUUCCAUUUUAAAAAUAAAAAUGGCGAGCACAGAGGGCUGACUGAAAAGUAAAAAACUUGAGACGACGACAGUAUUGACUGGGAUAGUCGAUGACUAACUUGCAGCACACAAAAUAUAAAAAAAAGUGGCAAAUACAGCACAGAGCCGCCUGCAGGAGAGACGUUUGGGUACAUUUGGACCCAGUAUGCUGCUGAAAAUGGAGCAGCACCAGAUCUCUGGCCUUUACACACUAUAACAUCACCUGCGACCUACCACAACCAUCUGAGUUGAAAAUGAAGUUACCAGACAGAUGGCUGCAAUCUUCCUCAGUUCAACCCCAGGGUUCCAAAGAUGGAAAAAGCAGAACUCUCAAGGAGAGCAGAUCCAUGCGGAGGUGGUCGGCUUCUUAUGGCACUCAUGCAAUAUGGUCCUGUAUAUGAGAUGUCGUCAGCAGUCAUGCCUGGUUUGAACUUGACCUGAAAGGACCGAUGGAAACAGAAUGUCUGAGUCAGUUGAGGAUGUCAUCACAAGCUGCAUGUUACCUCAUCUCUUCCUCCUCUUCAUCGUAAAUGUCCAAGCUGUUGCUAUGCAGGUACAUCAUGUUCAUCCCCUUGACAUGCUCUACAAGUGAAGGUUGCACUUCAUAAAAUAUCCUCCCAACCCCCAAUUUUUAACUCAUAUUGUAGCUUUCCUGGAAAUGC
This is a long non-coding RNA of Cynoglossus semilaevis (tongue sole), 863 nucleotides long. RefSeq lists it as uncharacterized. The transcript is spliced from 8 exons. The record is from RefSeq and is a predicted model, not a curated record. Lineage: Eukaryota; Metazoa; Chordata; Actinopteri; Pleuronectiformes; Cynoglossidae.